This 229-nucleotide ribosomal RNA is filed under the name uncultured bacterium. Its description in RNAcentral is "partial 16S ribosomal RNA". It matches the Rfam family "Bacterial small subunit ribosomal RNA", at positions 57 to 305 of the family's 1533-position model. The record is from RNAcentral.
GCAAGUUGAACGGGAAGAUACCUUCGGGUGUCGGCGAGUAGCGCACGGGUGCGUAACGCGUAGGAAUAUACCAUAUGGUAGAGAAUAACUAUUGGAAACGAUAGCUAAUACUCUAUAGUCCCUUGGGGUAAAGAUUUAUCGCCAUAUGAUUAGCCUGCGUUAGAUUAGCUAGUUGGUGAGGUAAGAGCUCACCAAGGCUACGAUCUAUAGCUGGUCUGAGAGGAUGAUC